Molecule: long non-coding RNA, 917 nt
Filed under: Pan troglodytes (chimpanzee)
Lineage: Eukaryota; Metazoa; Chordata; Mammalia; Primates; Hominidae
Description: long non-coding RNA NONPTRT002744
Source: RNAcentral
GUUGCGCGUGCGGAAGCCGGUGCUGUCGUCCACGCCGCGGUAGAAAAGCGGAUGGGCAUAUGCGUCAGGGAUGUUCAGGAUCUGGCCCGUGGUCGCCACGUGUCCCGCGAUGCCCUGAUCGGCCGGGAUGCGGAUCUCAUAGCUCUGCCGGGGCAGAGAUGGAGUCGAGAGGAAGAAGUUAGUGACCCGGCCACAGAGGGGACUGUUAAACGUCGGGCCGCUCCCCAGCGCCGCCGGCGGACUCCCGGACACCCCUAGGGCCACAUGCUCCCUCCACACCCUCUCACCUCAUCAUCCACCACGCCCCCGUCGAACACCUUGGCCACCAGCUCAUUCUGAUCCAGCAGGAACACAGAGCAGCUGUGGAGGGAGGGGUUUGGUCCUCUGGGGCCUGACAACCCCCUCUGAUCGCCCUCACUUCUCAUAAAGAGGCAAAGGCCGGAUUUCCGAGGCCUGGGAGGAGUGCUCCAAGGGCUCACCGGACAAGCCAGGAACUGUCAGUGUCUAAUUGUAUCAUUUGGCUGCUAAGUGAAGGAGUGAGGGAAUAGCCCCGGUGCAGGCCCACCCAACUGUCAACACAGUUCCAUGCUGGUAGGUUCUGCAGCUCAGACCUAGGACUCCUGGAUCUCCACCCUACCCCAGCAGACCUCAGGCCCGGGCUCUGACACCUACCUAGUCCCAGGCUCUCUAGUGUCCACCUCCUGCAGGAGCUCCAGGCCCUGAAACCCAGCCUGUUUGCUUGGACUCCAGAGGCCAGCAUCCUAUCAGCAUCUCUUUGCAUCAGGACUCAGCCCCUCAUCUGUCUACUUCUCCCCACCUAUGUGAUGCAGCACAAACUGCUCAUCCUGCCAGCCCAAGUGUGAACCUGCACCCAGGACAGAAAUGGCUCAUCAGACGCAGCACUGUUUCUCCCUGAA